RNAcentral lists this ribosomal RNA (471 nucleotides) under Butyrivibrio fibrisolvens. Its description in RNAcentral is "bacterial SSU rRNA". It matches the Rfam family "Bacterial small subunit ribosomal RNA", at positions 33 to 488 of the family's 1533-position model. The record is from RNAcentral. Lineage: Bacteria; Bacillati; Bacillota; Clostridia; Lachnospirales; Lachnospiraceae.
ACGUUGGCGGCGUGCCUAACACAUGCAUGUCGAACGGAGUUUACUCGCUGAUGAAGCUUCGGCAGAAUCUUGAGUAAACUUAGUGGCGGACGGGUGAGUAACGCGUGGGCAACCUGCCUCAUACUGGGGGAUAACAGUUGGAAACGACUGUUAAUACCGCAUAAGCGCACAGAGUCGCAUGACUCAGUGUGAAAAACUCCGGUGGUAUGAGAUGGGCCCGCGUCAGAUUAGCCAGUUGGCGGGGUAACGGCCCACCAAAGCGACGAUCUGUAGCCGGACUGAGAGGUCGGACGGCCACAUUGGGACUGAGACACGGCCCAAACUCCUACGGGAGGCAGCAGUGGGGGAUAUUGCACAAUGGAGGAAACUCUGAUGCAGCGACGCCGCGUGAGUGAAGAAGUAUUUCGGUAUGUAAAGCUCUAUCAGCAGGGAAGAAAGGCUCGCAAGAGAGAUGACGGUACCUGACUAAGA